RNAcentral lists this ribosomal RNA (433 nucleotides) under uncultured bacterium. RNAcentral's name for it is "partial 16S ribosomal RNA". It matches the Rfam family "Bacterial small subunit ribosomal RNA", at positions 29 to 507 of the family's 1533-position model. The record is from RNAcentral.
AACGAACGCUGGCGGCAUGCCUAACACAUGCAAGUCGAACGAGACCUUCGGGUCUAGUGGCGCACGGGUGCGUAACGCGUGGGAAUCUGCCCUUGGGUUCGGAAUAACAGUUGGAAACGACUGCUAAUACCGGAUGAUGACGUAAGUCCAAAGAUUUAUCGCCCAAGGAUGAGCCCGCGUAGGAUUAGCUAGUUGGUGAGGUAAAGGCUCACCAAGGCGACGAUCCUUAGCUGGUCUGAGAGGAUGAUCAGCCACACUGGGACUGAGACACGGCCCAGACUCCUACGGGAGGCAGCAGUGGGGAAUAUUGGACAAUGGGCGAAAGCCUGACCCAGCAAUGCCGCGUGAAUGAUGAAGGUCUUAGGGUUGUAAAGUUCUUUUACCCGGGAUGAUAAUGACGGUACCGGGAGAAUAAGCCCCGGCUAACUCCGUG